Molecule: long non-coding RNA, 3182 nt
Organism: Acinonyx jubatus (cheetah)
Lineage: Eukaryota; Metazoa; Chordata; Mammalia; Carnivora; Felidae
Exons: 4
Source: RefSeq, a predicted model, not a curated record
AAGAAAGAGUAUGCACUCGAGAAUGAAUGAGUGAAGAAAGGAAGGAAUUAAUGAAUCGCCGCAUGAACGAAAACAACAAAUGAGUCUGUCUCCCCGUAAGAAUGAACGAGUGAAGGAAAGAAUCGCUACUUUGAACGGAUGAAUAAAUAAAGGCAGUUGGAGGUUCAUUCCGAUCUCUGCACCGAAAAAGGAUCCCAGAGAAGGGGCAUUCCGAGUGUCAGGGGCACGGUGGGGAGGGGACGCCUUCCACUCACCUGCACGUAGUCCACCGAGUCGCCGAGCGCCUUGAAGGCGGUGUACAUGACCUCGCGCUUGCCGCCCCAGCGCUGCGCCACGCACACGCAGCGGUGCGUCCUCACCAGCGCCUCCACCGCCAGCCGCCCGGGGUCCUCGGCCUCCACCUCCCGGUAGGCACCCGCCGCGCCCGCCGUGGCCGCCGGCUCCCAAGGCCGGUGGUAGUUGCCGUCCCACACGUAGGUGGCGGGGUCCUCGUCGGCGAAGACCUCGCGGAACAUGUCCACCAUGUAGAGGUCCUCGGCGCGGUUGCCGUCCACCACCAUGAGGACGCGCAGGCGCGCGCGCGGGUACUGCAGGGCGCGGGCGGACGCCAGGCACUGGCGCAGGUACGCGGGGUCCUCCUGGUACGCCGAGAUGGUCAGCGCCACGCUGCGCGCCGCCGCCGCGUCCAGGGGCCCCCGCGCCGCCGCCCGCCGCGCCGCCGCCGCCACCCGCCGGUGCUCCAGGUACGCGAAGAGGCUCUGCGCCACCAGGUGCGCCGAGAGGAAAGCCCCGUACAGACCGAAGGCGAGGAGGCCGUAGCGAUCGGAGGCCAGCGGCACCCCGGCGGCGUAGGCCCAGGUCAUGAGGCCCAGGAUGAGCAGCGCGAACGUGACGAGACAUCUCCUGCACCGCUGGUGCUCCAGGCUCUUGGCUGGGUGAUGCCAGGCCCACAGAGAUGACUCAGACCCGGGCCCUGCCCUUGAGGAGAUGCCAAUCUUGGGGAGGAGACAGCUGUGUAAACAGAGGAUCAAAGACGAGUGCAUGGAUGCACCAACCCCGCUGGAGAGUCAGGGAGGGCUUCGUGGUGGAGGUGAUGUCCUGGAGGAGCAGAGUCUUGACUGAUGGGAAAUUAGCCAAGAGGACUGGCCCUGGCCUCUCUUCCGAGCUCAGACAGGAGAUCUUGUGAGAACCAGGUUACCCUUACACGCAUGGUUUGGCCAUGUGCCUCCGCCACUCCCUUCCGGAAGCAGUCCACUGUGAAUCCCAAGUCCACUUCCAGCACAGGCCAAGGCCUGAUGAGCUUCCAUGGAAGGAACACAGCCAUCUGAGUCAGAAGACAGAUGCGAGGAUGUGGAGUUGGAGGCAAAGUCUGGGGCCCCAAGGAGGGCCUGGUGACUUGUGUGCUCUUGGCAAGGAGCCGUUUCAUUCCCCUGAGCCUCUCUUUCCUCAUCUGUGAAAUGGGAAUAUCUCAAGUUGUCAGCCUAAGAGUCAGAGAGAGGGCUUCGACCUGGCAUACUGCCACGUGAGAUACGUGUUAGCUCUUCCUGAAGCGGCCGCACGGAGGGUCUCCGUGAAUGAUUCAGGUGGCAACAGGGGGACUCUCCACCUGUCCCGGCCACCUCACUGGUGCUCUGGGGAGUCAGCCCGGUAGGGGCCUGGAGGGGCCCACGGUCUGGAGUCAGCUGCUCCAGGGUUCCGAGGCUGGUGGCCUUAGGCAAGCUAUGUCCCACCGUGGCCAGGUGUCCCACCUGCAGACCAGCAGAGCCCACGACCCCACUGUGUGCGUGGACGGGACUGGGCUGGCCAUGGAGCAAAUCUCUGGGCCCCGGCCUCCUCGUGUCUGGAGGAGAGUGAAGAUCCUGCCUACUCCAGGCUAUUUCGAGGAGCUCAGACAAGUUUAGGGAGCAGACGGCAUGCAGCAGAGAUGGUGUGUCGAGGAGAGUUGCCCCUGUGGGCUCCAGACGGAGGAAGUCAGAGGAGCAGAUGAUGAGUGAUGUUGAGCAUUUUUUCACGUGUCUGUUCACCAUCUGGACGUCUUCUUUGGAGAAGUGUCUAUUCAGAGAACAUUUACUUUUAAUUCUUCCAUUUUAUCAUCCCCCAAUAUGGUGGCUUUCUUCCUGGAGACUGCCACCUAAUGGCUGCAAGACAGCUGCCACAGCUCCUAACUUCACACCACAGCACUUCAAGUCAGGAAGAUGAGGAUGAAACGGGAAUCACUGAAGAUUUUUAAAAGAAGUAGGGUAUGUUCAGAUGUGUAUUUUAUAAAAAUUUCUCUGGAGGCACACACAGAAGACACAGUUUAGAAUGUUCCCAAGGGAGGAAGGGUAACAAGUGUGGAUGUGACCAAGAGUCAAAAGGAAGUCACAGUCUUUCUGGGAAUUAAAGUGAAAAGAAUGGCAGAGGGCACUACUAUUCAUCGAGGAGAAGGGCUCAGAUGCUGAGAGAAAACAAGAGACAUGGGACCCCAUGGAGCGUAACUCUCAAAUUUCCAGGUCUUUGGGAGUCUGACUUCCCCAAACCAGACUUCUUGGAUGCCCCUGCCUGUUUCCCAUAAGCCGUGAAGUAUAUGCAGGUUUUAUUCUUUGCUACCAAGUGGCCCAUGAUUGACACACCAGGACUUGCAGAACUGACAGAGGCAAAGUGACUAAGGUGAAAAAAAGGGCAAGUCCCAAGUGGACUCUGAUUCCUGAAUGUCCACAUUGUCUAAUGUGUGUAAGGCCAAAGGGGAAAUGAUUUUGGGGUUGGCCCUGGUGGGGCAAAUUCCUGCCUGUAUUGCAAAAUCCCUGACCCCUGUGGUGGCUGAUAUCCUGAGUGGCCUCUGUGAACCUCAAAGUCUUUCAGUAAACUGCAGUGCCUGAGAUGGUGAAGCCAGAUUGCCUGGGCUGGAAACCCAAAUGUACCCUUGACUCCUUCCGCAAUCAAUCAGGCCAUCUAACCCAGGGGUUGGCUAACAUUUUCUCUAAAGGGCCAGAAUAGUAAAUCUUUCAUGUUUUGCAGGCCGUAGUGUCUCUAUCACAACUAUGCAACCCUGCCAUUAUAGCGUGAGUAUAGCCAUUGGCGAUAUGUAGACGAUGAGCACGGCUGUGUGCCAAUAAAACUUUAUUUAAGAUGCUGAAAAUGGAAUUUUAUGUCAUCUCAUUUAACACAGAUUAUUAUCCUUUUGGUUUUAUUCAGUAAUUAAA